UUAAUAGAUAAACUCUUACUGUUAAUAAGAGUUAGAUAAAAUAUCCUAUUAAUAAG
RNAcentral lists this transfer RNA (56 nucleotides) under Scutigerella causeyae. RNAcentral's name for it is "tRNA-Asn". The record is from RNAcentral. Lineage: Eukaryota; Metazoa; Arthropoda; Symphyla; Scutigerellidae.